GGCAGGAGGAGGUGCUGGGGCAGGCGGGAUCAAAUGAGGGAUGGGAGGAGGGAGAGACGGAAGGAUUGAGGGAGGAGGGAGGGGAGGGGAGGGAGAGGGGGAAGGGAGAAAUGGAGGGAGGAAGACAGCUGGAGAGGGAGGAAUGAGGGAGGGCAGGAGGGAGAGAGCCGCAGAUAGAAAAUAAGAGAGAAGCUGGACAGAGACAGACACGUAGAAGGAAACAGAAAAUACAUCCAAAGACAAGGAGGGAGCCAUACAGAGAGACAGACAGAGACAGACACGGGGACGCACAGACAGGCACACGGAGACAUGGGCUCAGAGCCUGCACAGGGGAGUGGAAGGUGGGAGGAAAUGGAGUAUAUUGCCUACUCUGGAUUCAACCAUUUCCCUUCUCCUUGCAGACCGGGAGACUGAGGCUCAGGAAGGGGAUCAGACUCGCUCCAGACGCUACAAUAGUUUUGGAGUGGCCCAGAAUUUGCACCUGCAUCCUCUAUGGGCUCGGAGAAACCUGGGGGGAGGCAGAGGCCCCCUCCUGUCCCGGAACUGCCAAGUCCUCAGCUUCCAGGGACGAGCGUGUGUGGUCAUGGACAAGUCCCAUCCCUUCCCUGCCUGUCCUGCAUCUGGAAAUAGUCUCUAUUGGUGGAUGGAACUUAUCAAGGCUCCGAAAGGGCCUCCAAACCUGCCCCCUGCGGCAGCCAGCUGACCACGCACCGAAGAAUGCCUUGCCCCAGCAGGAGGCGCUCCCCAGGCUUUCCCCUUGCAGCCAACUGCGUCCUGGAUGGACAUCUGCCCUCAGACGUCCCUCCAUUUCCCUAGGGAUGACAUAUCCCCACCUAUGCUCAGCAUUUUCCAGGUGUCAUCCCGGACUCCUCCCGUGUCCCCAUCCCAGUCCAGUCCUGUGCAUUCCAUGUAUCCAAGGUCUCCCGCAUCUGUCCCCUCCUUGGCCCACCCCCCCUCCCCUGCCCCACAGUCUCCAUUUGCCUUGGGCCAGGAGUAGUAGCCUCCUAACCCCUCCUCCUGUCUGUAGAGGCCCCGCGCCCCAAAGCUGAACCCCUCUGCCCCAGGCUCCCUCCCGCACGGAGGCGAGGUCCUCGGCAAUGCCCUGCUCCAUCUGACCAACAUCCACCCGUGUGCUCUCAUCUGUUUCUUUCUCCUCCUACGUGCCCUGCAACACUCACCAGUCCCGAGCCACAAAGCAUGAUUCCAUCUUCUCCCGUAUGCCUGUUAACACUUUCACCUGUCCCCACCUAAAAUCCCACCUGUCCCCAGAAGUCCAGCUCAGGGGGCUCAGCCCCACCCUCCAUCCUGCAGGGUGGAGGCACGAGUCCUUCUUCUGUCUCUUUAAACUAUCCCCAAGGGCAGCCCUGGUGGCUCAGCGGUUUAGCGCCACCUUCAGCCCAGGGUGUGAUCCUGGCGACCAGGGAUGGAGUCCUAUGGAGUCCCUGCGUGGAGCCUGCUUCUCCCUCUGCCUGUGUCUCUGCCUCAGUGUGUGUGUGUCUCUCAUGAAUAUAUAAAAUAUUUUUUUAAAAAAACUAUCCCUAAGCAGAGUCUCUUCUGGAGGCAGUAUUGCCCUGUGGUUAAGAGUAAGGGCUGUGGAUUCCCGAGCCUCAGUUUUCCUGUCCGCGAUAUGGGUGUAAAAGCAGUAUUUAUCUCAGGAGGUGGGGAUGAGUGGGACCACGUGUGCAAAGCUCUCUCCGUGGCAGCUGGCACCCGGACUAUGAUCCAUGCUUGGUAGCUUUGCAGCAGAUUCUCUGUGCUCAGCUGAGUGGAAGAAAGUUCAUGGGGCCUAACGACUUGGGCUGCUAUCUAGCCCCGGGAAUGCGGCCCUCUAAAGAAUGUGGCUUCAGUGGGGGUUUGGCUGUAGCAGAGCAAAACUGGAAGAGGAGCCAGACCCUUCCUCCUCUUCCCCAAGGCUUCUCAGAGGAGCUGUCUUCCUCUCUGCGUGCUUUGUCAAGGAAGGAUCCCACCGAAAAGACAAACAGGGCGAGAGGAAGCAGUGGCCAGGAGGCAGGGCAGGGGGAACAAUCACCACAUUUCCGCUGCCAUUAGCUUCUCUGCUCUUCCCACCUGAGCUGGCCGCACUGGCUAAUGGCAGUGCUCCCAGCACCCCAUGCUCCUGUUCCCCAGCAGCUAUAGUGUGGGCAGCACUUUGGUCUAAAUGAAGAAAAUUGCUCAUUAGAUACCAGGAGUUAAUUGGCACUAUAUUUGCCAACCUCAGUGGCGCCCUGACCUCAGCCUCUCGCUUGAUAUGACAUGAUUUGGUAUGUGCUCCAGCACCGCCUUUGGGAAGUCUUCCCUGUCUCGCCUGACCCCUUCCCCCAUCCUACAACCCCCUUGCUCUCCUGCAUCGGGGCAUUCAUCACUCUGUACUUCUCUUGUCUCUUGCAAUAAUGAGCCAGAGGGCCUCAAUGACAGUGGGGUGGCUGGCGCAUAGUAGCUGAUUAAUAAACUGAUUAAAGAAACACUGUGCUCUGCUCUG
This 2479-nucleotide long non-coding RNA is filed under the name Vulpes vulpes (red fox). RNAcentral describes it as "lncRNA (ENSVVUG00000021205.1)". Lineage: Eukaryota; Metazoa; Chordata; Mammalia; Carnivora; Canidae. The record is from RNAcentral.